Molecule: non-coding RNA, 1036 nt
Organism: Arachis ipaensis
Lineage: Eukaryota; Viridiplantae; Streptophyta; Magnoliopsida; Fabales; Fabaceae
Source: RefSeq, a predicted model, not a curated record
UCAACAAAACGCUGCCGUUUCCAAGGUUCUGAAACCCUAAAUGGCUAAAUCAAUUACCAAAUCCCUAAUUUCCUUCUCAGUUCUCAUUCAUCGAGCUUCACUGAAGCUGCCUCAGAGGUGAGAACGCCUCAGUGCCUCACUUUCACACGGGUCGAGCCACCGCCGUCGAGCCACCACAACAACCGUCGAGAACUGAGAACGCCUCACUCUCACACGGGUCUAGCCACCGCCGUCGAGUCACCGCCGUCGAGCCACCGCAGCAGCCGUCGAGAACUGAGAACGCCUCACUCUCACCGUCGAGAACUGAGAAUGCCUCACUCUUACCGUCGUCCCUUUGCUGUCCCCCACUCUCCCUAUUGCAUGUUCUGUUGAAGCCUUGAAGGUGCUUUCGAGCUUCCAGAGUUCCAGGAAAUCAUUCAGCUAUCCUUUUUCUCUCAACCUGAUGGCCCAAUGAUUGGAAAUGGCUCCUUUAAAUCGUCAAUUCUUAUUUCCAGGUAUAAAAGAAGGAUUUUAUUUGGGUCCACCACCGAAAGAUAAGCUUCCCAAGAAUUCUACACAAGGUUCUGUAUUGUUAGGGGCAAUUUCGUAUGGAAAACUGUCAUUUUCAGAGGGGGAGAAUAAAAAUCCAAAAAAGCACCCUGCAUCAUAUCAACUAAUAAUACACAAGGUUCUGUAUUGUUAGUGAUUAAAUGUUUGUUCUAAACCCUGCUGCUGCUGUUUUUUAAUUUAUGAGUAUGCUAUUUUUGAAUUUUUGUUGUUAGAUUUAUUGAUUUCAGAGUUUAGGGUGAUUCAUGAAAUUGAGAAUUGGAUUGUUGGUACUUCUCUAUAUGUAUACUUGUUCUAUGUCUUGGUGCUGAGUCUCACAAAUAUUCUCAAUUACUUACAGCUAUGAUUUCCUUCUUGAAUGAGAUUUUAUUUUUCCAAAAGAAAUCAUAGAAGAUUAGGGUUGUGAAUUUUUUAAUUGAGUGAUGAGUGUAAAGUUGAAGAUGAUGAUGACAAAAGUGCUUGGAAACAUAUAUUUUAAGAGUGUUUUAAA